AUUGAACGCUGGCGGCAGGCUUAACACAUGCAAGUCGAGCCAGCGGCGGACGGGUGAGUCAUGUCUGGGAAACGGUCUGAUGGGAGGGGAGAACUCCUGGAAACGGUGGCUAAUACCGCAUAACAUCAGCAGUGCCCAGAUGGGAUUAGCUAGUCGUUGGGGUAAUGGCUCACCUAGGCGACGAUCCCUAGCGGGUCUGAGAGGAUGACCAGCCACACUGGAACUGAAGCACGGUCCGGACUCCUACGUGAGGGAGCAGUGGGGAAGAUUGCACAAUGGGCGCCAGCCUGCUGCAGCCAUGCCGCUUGUGUGCAGAAGGCCUUCGGGUUGUAAAGCACUUUCAGCGAGGUGGCGUUACGCGCAGAGGAAGCACCGGCUAGCUCCGUGCCAGCAGCCGCGGUAAUUC
Molecule: ribosomal RNA, 406 nt
Filed under: uncultured bacterium
Lineage: Bacteria
Description: partial 16S ribosomal RNA
Rfam family: Bacterial small subunit ribosomal RNA
Source: RNAcentral